Molecule: ribosomal RNA, 440 nt
Filed under: uncultured bacterium
Lineage: Bacteria
Description: bacterial SSU rRNA
Rfam family: Bacterial small subunit ribosomal RNA
Source: RNAcentral
AACGCGAAGAACCUUACCACCUUUUGACAUGCCUGGACCGCCGGAGAGAUCCGGUUUUCCCUUCGGGGACUAGGACACAGGUGCUGCAUGGCUGUCGUCAGCUCGUGUCGUGAGAUGUUGGGUUAAGUCCCGCAACGAGCGCAACCCUCGCCUUUAGUUGCCAUCAUUAAGUUGGGCACUCUAAAGGGACCGCCGGUGGUAAGCCGGAGGAAGGUGGGGAUGACGUCAAGUCCUCAUGGCCCUUACAGGGUGGGCUACACACGUGCUACAAUGGCGACUACAGAGGGCUGCAACCCCGCGAGGGUGAGCCAAAUCGGAAAAAGCCGGCCUCAGUUCGGAUUGGAGUCUGCAACUCGACUCCAUGAAGCUGGAAUCGCUAGUAAUCGUGGAUCAGCAUGCCACGGUGAAUACGUUCCCGGGCCUUGUACACACCGCGCAUA